Molecule: ribosomal RNA, 216 nt
Filed under: uncultured Pseudomonadota bacterium
Lineage: Bacteria; Pseudomonadati; Pseudomonadota
Description: uncultured proteobacterium partial 16S ribosomal RNA
Rfam family: Bacterial small subunit ribosomal RNA
Source: RNAcentral
AACGAACGCUGGUGGCAUGCCUAACACAUGCAAGUCGAAACGAGAAAACAUUCUUCGGAAUGUGGAAAGUGGCGCACGGGUGAGUACAAGAUAGGUAUCUACCUCGCACCGGGGGACAACAGUUAGAAAUGACUGCUAAUACCGCAUACGCCAUAUUGGGAAAACUACGGUGGUGUGAGAUGAGCCUAUCCCAGAUUAGCUAGUUGGUAGGGUAAA